This is an RNA transcript of Elaeis guineensis (African oil palm), 2175 nucleotides long. It is a transcript of the gene named protein HIGH CHLOROPHYLL FLUORESCENCE PHENOTYPE 173, chloroplastic, with no coding region annotated. NCBI's taxonomy places the organism in Eukaryota, Viridiplantae, Streptophyta, Magnoliopsida, Arecales, Arecaceae. The record is from RefSeq and is a predicted model, not a curated record.
CCUCGCAUUUCUGUGGCCCAUCGAUCGCUCAACAGGGACGGCGCAGUUGGAGUCGGAUUUAGAGGGAUGAAGACGGAGGAGGAGGUCUUAUUGCGGCAGGACAAGAACGGAUCCCCCUUUGUUCGGUGCUACCACCCAUUUUCUGUUGCAUGGCUCUACGGCACGGCGGCGGGAUUGGUGCAGCAGCAUGUCCAAAUGGACUGAACUACCAGAAACAGAAUCCCCAGUCCUCCUCCAAUUUCCUCGGGCUCCGUCUGUCAAGUCUCAAGGUCCAUGACCACCACAUUCCACCUGUCGCAUUCAGACGCUUCCCGUUGGCACUGGCAAUCCGGAGGAGCCAGCUUGGUGGUGGCAACAUCAUCGGCGACGGCGACGAGCAGAAGAAGGCCCAUCGAAACGGUGGCAGCAACAGCAGCAGCGCUCCGACUGCGAGGGAUCAGAGAAGGGUCGCAGCAGAAGAGAAGAGAAAGGGCGACUGCGCGAAGGAAGGGGAUGCCCCGACAAGCAGCAGCAAGCAGCAGCAGCAGCAGCAGGGCCCCUCGGUCUCGCUGACGCUGGAAGACGUGAACCCGGUGGGCCUGGGGCGGAGAUCCCGCCAGAUCUUCGACGAGGUGUGGCGCAAAUUCUCGGGGCUGGGCCAGAUCUCUCGGACUCCCACCGCCGACGACCGCCUCCUCGACGCGGUCCUCAUCCGUGGACCCAUGUGCGAGUUCACCAUCCCCGGCGCGCAGGACACCACCGUGCUCGUUGUCGGGGCUACAAGCCGGAUCGGACGAAUCGUCGUCCGCAAGCUCAUGCUUAGGGGAUACAAGGUCAAGGCUUUAGUAAGAAAAGCUGAUCCAGAAGUGCUAGAUACGCUGCCGAGAUCGGUGGCAAUAGCGGUUGGUGAUGUGGGCGAACCUUCCACUCUCAAAGCUGCCGUGGAGGGCUGCAACAAGAUCAUCUACUGCGCCACCGCACGCUCUGCUAUCACGGGGGACCUCAACAGAGUCGAUUACCAAGGGGUGCGCAACGUCACCAAGGCAUUUCAGGAUUACAACAAUCAGCUAGCACGGCUGAGGGCUGGCAAGAGUAGCAAGAGCAAGCUCGUGCUUGCGAAAUUCAAAUCUGCUGAAUCAUUGAAAGGCUGGGAAGUUCGCCGGGGAACUUACUUUCAGGAUGUUGUUGCUGCCAAGUAUGAUGGGGGGAUGGAUGCAAAGUUUGAAUAUACGGAAUCUGGUGAUGCUGUCUUCUCAGGAUAUGUCUUUACUAGAGGCGGAUAUGUGGAACUCUCCAAAAAGCUUGCUCUUCCAUUGGGUUCUACACUCGACAGGUAUGAUGGUUUGCUUCUCUCGGUUGGGGGAAAUGGAAGGUCCUAUGUUUUAAUACUUGAGGCUGGCCCACUAGCUGAUACUUCUCAGAGCAAAAUGUAUUUUGCUCGAAUGACCACAAAAGUCGGCUUUUGCAGGGUAAGAGUACCAUUUUCAUCUUUUCGUCCGGUGAAACCAGAUGAUCCUCCCCUAGACCCUUUUCUUGUACAUACAUUGACCAUUCGUUUCGAACCAAGAAGACAGAAACCUGUUGAAGGACCUGGAGGAAAUAGACAGGACCCUAGAAGCUUCAAAUUGAUAAUGGAAUACAUAAAAGCAUUACCUGAUCUGGAAUUGAACGCAGCAGAAGGGAGCAAGUUCUUAAAGCCAAGAAGGCUGGAGAGGAUUCAUUAAGAAGAUCAGGCCUUGGAUAUACCAUUAUUCGUCCUGGUCCGUUGCAGGAAGAACCUGGCGGUCAGCGUGCACUGAUCUUUGAUCAAGGGAACAGGAUCUCUCAGGGCAUCAGCUGCGCCGAUGUAGCAGAUAUAUGUGUCAAGGCAUUGCAUGAUUCAACGGCAAGAAAUAAGAGCUUUGAUGUAUGCUAUGAGUAUGUUGCUGAGCAAGGAAAGGAGCUUUUUGAAUUGGUUGCACAUUUGCCUGACAAAGCAAAUAACUAUCUCACGCCAGCUCUAUCUGUUCUAGAGAAAAACACCUGAUUUCAAGAAUUAUAUAACUUACUGAUGCUACACGCCCGUUCCUUUGUAUAGAUACGGCAAUUUUUGCCUGUUAGGCGAUCAUCUAUAAUUUGUACAUGUAAUUUUGUACAUGAUCCGUUGUCAAUUAUAUUUGGUAGUGUAGGAGAAAGAAUUGGUGGCAUAUGGAAGAA